This 217-nucleotide ribosomal RNA is filed under the name uncultured Alicycliphilus sp. Its description in RNAcentral is "partial 16S ribosomal RNA". It matches the Rfam family "Bacterial small subunit ribosomal RNA", at positions 335 to 547 of the family's 1533-position model. The record is from RNAcentral. Lineage: Bacteria; Pseudomonadati; Pseudomonadota; Betaproteobacteria; Burkholderiales; Comamonadaceae.
ACUCUUACGGGAGGCAGCAGUGGGGAAUUUUGGACAAUGGGCGCAAGCCUGAUCCAGCAAUGCCGCGUGCAGGAAGAAGGCCUUCGGGUUGUAAACUGCUUUUGUACGGAGCGAAAAGGCUCCUCUAAUACAGAGGUUCAUGACGUACCGUAAGAAUAAGCACCGGCUAACUACGUGCCAGCAGCCGCGGUAAUACGUAGGGUGCGAGCGUUAAUCG